CGCGCGGGAUUGUGGGGGCACGUUCCGAACGGGGCGCUAAUACCGCAUACGUCCUACGGGAGAAAGUGGGGGAUCUUCGGCACUCAAGCUAUCAGAUGAGCCUAGGUCGGAUUAGCUAGUUGGUGCAGGUAAAGGCUCACCAAGGCGACGAUCCGUAACUGGUCUGAGAGGAUGAUCAGUCACACUGGAACUGAGACACGGUCCAGACUCCUACGGGAGGCAGCAGUGGGGAAUAUUGGACAAUGGGCGAAAGCCUGAUCCAGCCAUGCCGCGUGUGUGAAGAAGGUCUUCGGAUUGUAAAGCACUUUAAGUUGGGAGGAAGGGCAGUAAGUUAAUACCUUGCUGUUUUGACGUUACCGACAGAAUAAGCACCGGCUAACUCUGUGCCAGCAGCCGCGGUAAUACAGAGGGUGCAAGCGUUAAUCGGAAUUACUGGGCGUAAAGCGUGUGUAGGUGGUUCGUUAAGUUGGAUGUGUAAGCCCCGGGCUCAACCUGGGAACUGCAUCCAAAACUGGCGAGCUAGAGUAUGGUAGAGGGUGGUGGAAUUUCCUGUGUAGCGGUGAAAUGCGUAGAUAUAGGAAGGAACACCAGUGA
RNAcentral lists this ribosomal RNA (594 nucleotides) under uncultured Pseudomonas sp. RNAcentral describes it as "bacterial SSU rRNA". It matches the Rfam family "Bacterial small subunit ribosomal RNA", at positions 126 to 715 of the family's 1533-position model. The record is from RNAcentral. Lineage: Bacteria; Pseudomonadati; Pseudomonadota; Gammaproteobacteria; Pseudomonadales; Pseudomonadaceae.